UACAGAGGGUGCGAGCGUUAAUCGGAAUUACUGGGCGUAAAGCGCACGUAGGUGGCGACGUAAGUCGGGUGUGAAAGCCCCGGGCUCAACCUGGGAACUGCAUUCGAAACUGCACUGCUAGAGUAUGGAAGAGGGAAGUGGAAUUUCCGGUGUAGCGGUGAAAUGCGUAGAUAUCGGAAGGAACACCAGUGGCGAAAGCGACUUCCUGGUCCAAUACUGACGUUCAUGUGCGAAAGCGUGGGGAGCAAACAGG
Molecule: ribosomal RNA, 253 nt
Filed under: uncultured bacterium
Lineage: Bacteria
Description: partial 16S ribosomal RNA
Rfam family: Bacterial small subunit ribosomal RNA
Source: RNAcentral